RNAcentral lists this long non-coding RNA (415 nucleotides) under Taeniopygia guttata (zebra finch). RNAcentral's name for it is "lncRNA (ENSTGUG00000028104.1)". The record is from RNAcentral. Lineage: Eukaryota; Metazoa; Chordata; Aves; Passeriformes; Estrildidae.
UUCUCAUUUAUGGGAAAGAUUUUUCCGUGGAUUUCUCAUUUUUGGGAGUUUUCCAUGGAUUUCUCCAUCCCACCAUGAUUUUUCCAUGGAUUUCUCAUUUUUGGGAGUUUUCCGUGGAUUUCUCGGCGAUGGGAAAGAGUUUUCCAUGGAUUUCUCAUUUUUGGGAGUUUUCCAUUAAUUUCUCAUUUAUGGGAAAAAUUUUCCGUGGAUUUCUCAUUUUUGGGAGUUUUACAUGGAUUUCUCAUUUAUGGGAAAGAGUUUUCCAUGGAUUUCUCAUUUUUGGGAGUUUUCCAUGGAUUUCUCCAUCCCACCAUGAGUUUUCCAUGGAUUUCUCAUUUUUGGGAGUUUUCCAUGGAUUUCUCAUUUUUGGGCAUUUUCCAUGGAUUUCUCCAUCCCACCGCGAGUUUUCCAUGGA